UACGUAGGGCGCGAGCGUUGUCCGGAUUUAUUGGGCGUAAAGAGCUCGUAGGCGGUUUGUCGCGUCGGCUGUGAAAACCCACGGCUUAACUGUGGGCUUGCAGCUGAUACGGGCAGGCUAGAGUUCGGUAGGGGAGACUGGAAUUCCUGGUGUAGCGGUGAAAUGCGCAGAUAUCAGGAGGAACACCGGUGGCGAAGGCGGCUCUCUGGUACGUGACUGACGCUGAGACGCGAAAGCGUGGGGAGCAAACAGG
RNAcentral lists this ribosomal RNA (253 nucleotides) under uncultured bacterium. RNAcentral's name for it is "partial 16S ribosomal RNA". It matches the Rfam family "Bacterial small subunit ribosomal RNA", at positions 524 to 776 of the family's 1533-position model. The record is from RNAcentral.